RNAcentral lists this signal recognition particle RNA (299 nucleotides) under Saimiri boliviensis boliviensis (Bolivian squirrel monkey). Its description in RNAcentral is "Metazoan signal recognition particle RNA (ENSSBOG00000001790.1)". It matches the Rfam family "Metazoan signal recognition particle RNA". Rfam says of the family: The signal recognition particle (SRP) is a universally conserved ribonucleoprotein. Lineage: Eukaryota; Metazoa; Chordata; Mammalia; Primates; Cebidae. The record is from RNAcentral.
GCCGGGCUCGGUGGCACGUGCCUGUAGUCCCAGCUAUUUGGGAGGCUGAGGUGGGAGGAUCGCUUGAGCCCAGGAGUUCUGGGCUGUAGUGGGCUAUGCCGAUCGGGUGUCCGCACUAACUUCGGCAUCAAUAUGGUGACCUCCUGGGAGCGGGGGACCACCAGGUUGCCUAAGGAGGGGUGAACUGGCCCAGGUUGGAAACAGGGCAGGUCAAAACUCCCAUGCUGAUCCGUAGUGGGAUUGUGCCUGUGAAUAGCCACUGCACUCCAGCCUGGGCAACAUAGCGAGACCCGGUCUCU